Mirounga angustirostris (Northern elephant seal) is the source of this 1756-nucleotide long non-coding RNA. RefSeq lists it as uncharacterized. The transcript is spliced from 5 exons. NCBI's taxonomy places the organism in Eukaryota, Metazoa, Chordata, Mammalia, Carnivora, Phocidae. The record is from RefSeq and is a predicted model, not a curated record.
AGGAGGAAGCGGGCUGGGGACUUUCGGCACUCCGGGGCUGUCCCCACGACGCCUGACUCCGACGCACGACUGCACCAGGGCUUGAUAAUGAGGACGCUCGGCCGGGAUUGAGUGUGAACGUUAUAGUCCAGAAGAGAGAGACAGCGAGAGCAGGAACACAAGCAGGGGGAGUGGGAGAGUGAGAAGCAGGCUUCCCGCCGAGCAGGAAGCCCGAUGUGGGACUCGAUCCCAGGACCCUGGGAUCAUGACCUGAGCUGAAGGCAGACGCUUAACGACUGAGCCACCCAGGUGCCCAAAGACAGAUUACCACAGGAGACUUUAAAAAGGAAGAGAUGCUUGAGAUGAGUCUCAAAGGCUGAGAAAUUCGGAAAUUCGUCAGCCUUCAUUUUACUUAUAGUGAGAGGUAAGGGACAGGUUGCAUUUUAAGGUCCUGCCCCUGGCACAGUGGAACUUGCAAACCACACAUACAAGAAGAAGUUGCUGCGGCUGAGGUCGAAGAGGUUGUUGCCUGUGUUCUCCUUUAGGAUUUUGAUGGACUCCCGUCUCACAUUGAGGUCUUUCAACCAUUUGGAGUCUAUUUUUGUGUGUGGUAUAAGGAAAUGGUCCAGUUUCUUUCUUCUGCAUGUGGCUGUCCAAUUUUCCCAACACCAUUUGUUGAAGAGACUGUCUUUUUUCCAUUGGACAUUCUUUCCUGCUUUGUUGAAGAUUAGUUGACCAUAGAAUUGAGGGUCCAUUUCUGGGCUCUCUAUUCUGUUCCAUUGAUCUAUGUGCCUGUUUUUGUGCCAGUACCAUACUGUCUUGAUGAUGACAGCUUUGUAAUAGAUCUUAAAGUCCAGAAUUGUGAUGCUGCCAGCUUUGCUUUUCUUUUUCAAUGUUCCUCUAGCUAUUCGAGGUCUUUUCUGGUUCCAUACAAAUUUUAGGAUUAUUUGUUCCAUUUCUUUGAAAAAAGUGGGUGGUAUUUUGAUAGGGAUUGCAUUAAAUGUGUAGAUUGCUCUAGGUAGCAUUGACAUCUUCAAAUGACAUAUCAGAUAAAAGGCUAGUAUCCAAAAUCUAUAAAGAACUUAUCAAACUCAACAGCCAAAGAACAAAUGAUCCAAUCAAGAAAUGGGCAGAAGACAUGAACAGACAUUUUUCCAAAGAAGACAUCCAAAAGGCCAACAGACACAUGAAAAAGUGUUCAACAUCACUCAGCAUCAGGGAAAUCCAAAUCCAAACCUCAAUGAGGUACCACCUCAUGCCAGUCAAAAUGGCUAAAAUUAAAAGUCAGGAAACAACAGAUGUUGGCGGGGAUGUGGAGAAAGGGGAACCCUCCUACACUGUUGGUGGGAAUGGUAGCUGGUGCAGCCACUUUGGAAAACAGCAUGGAAGUUCCUUAGAAAGUUGAAAAUAGAGCUACCAUACAACCCAGCAAAUUGCACUACUGGGUAUUUACCCCAAAGAUACAAAUGUAGGGAUCUGAAGGGUUAUGUGCACCCCAAUGUUUAUAGCAACAAUGUCCACAAUAGCCAAACUAUGGAAAGAGCCAAGAUGUCCAUCAACAGAUGAAUGGAUAAAGAAGAUGUGGUAUAUAUAUGUACAAUGGAAUAUUAUGCAGCCAUCAAAAGGAAUGAAAUCCUGCCAUUUGCAAUGACAUGGAUGGAACUGGAGGGUAUUAUGCUGAGCGAAAUAAGUCAAUCAGAGAAAGACAUGUAUCAUAUGAUCUCACUGAUAUGAGGAAUUCUUAAUCUCAGGAAACAAACGUAGGGUUGCUGGAGUG